This 465-nucleotide ribosomal RNA is filed under the name Vreelandella stevensii. RNAcentral's name for it is "partial 16S ribosomal RNA". It matches the Rfam family "Bacterial small subunit ribosomal RNA", at positions 338 to 795 of the family's 1533-position model. Lineage: Bacteria; Pseudomonadati; Pseudomonadota; Gammaproteobacteria; Oceanospirillales; Halomonadaceae. The record is from RNAcentral.
CCUACGGGUGGCUGCAGUGGGGAAUAUUGGACAAUGGGCGAAAGCCUGAUCCAGCCAUGCCGCGUGUGUGAAGAAGGCCUUCGGGUUGUAAAGCACUUUCAGUGGGGAAGAAAGCCUUGGGGCUAAUACCCUCGAGGAAGGACAUCACCCACAGAAGAAGCACCGGCUAACUCCGUGCCAGCAGCCGCGGUAAUACGGAGGGUGCGAGCGUUAAUCGGAAUUACUGGGCGUAAAGCGCGCGUAGGCGGUCUGAUAAGCCGGUUGUGAAAGCCCCGGGCUCAACCUGGGAACGGCAUCCGGAACUGUCAGGCUAGAGUUCAGGAGAGGAAGGUAGAAUUCCCGGUGUAGCGGUGAAAUGCGUAGAGAUCGGGAGGAAUACCAGUGGCGAAGGCGGCCUUCUGGACUGACACUGACGCUGAGGUGCGAAAGCGUGGGUAGCAAACAGGAUUAGAUACCCUAGUAGUC